Molecule: ribosomal RNA, 54 nt
Filed under: uncultured bacterium
Lineage: Bacteria
Description: partial 16S ribosomal RNA
Source: RNAcentral
UAACCCGCCAAGGGGAGGGAAGCCGCUAGAAGGUUGUGGUUGGUGAUUGGGGUG